Molecule: ribosomal RNA, 102 nt
Filed under: uncultured bacterium
Lineage: Bacteria
Description: partial 16S ribosomal RNA
Rfam family: Bacterial small subunit ribosomal RNA
Source: RNAcentral
UCACACCAUGAGAGUUGGGAAUACCCGAAGCCUGUGAGCUAACUUUAGAGGCAGCAGUCGAAGGUAGAAUCAAUGAUUGGGGUGAAGUCGUAACAAGGUACC